CCUACGGGAGGCAGCAGUGGGGAAUAUUGGACAAUGGGGGGAACCCUGAUCCAGCCAUGCCGCGUGUGUGAAGAAGGCCCUCGGGUUGUAAAGCACUUUCAGUGAGGAAGAACGCCUGGUGGUUAAUACCCAUCAGGAAAGACAUCACUCACAGAAGAAGCACCGGCUAACUCCGUGCCAGCAGCCGCGGUAAUACGGAGGGUGCGAGCGUUAAUCGGAAUUACUGGGCGUAAAGCGCGCGUAGGUGGCUUGAUAAGCCGGUUGUGAAAGCCCCGGGCUCAACCUGGGAACGGCAUCCGGAACUGUCAAGCUAGAGUGCAGGAGAGGAAGGUAGAAUUCCCGGUGUAGCGGUGAAAUGCGUAGAGAUCGGGAGGAAUUCCAGUGGCGAAGGCGGACUUCUGGACUGACACUGACACUGAGGUGCGAAAGCGUGGGUAGCAAACAGGAUUAGAUACCCCUGUAGUC
Molecule: ribosomal RNA, 465 nt
Filed under: Vreelandella stevensii
Lineage: Bacteria; Pseudomonadati; Pseudomonadota; Gammaproteobacteria; Oceanospirillales; Halomonadaceae
Description: partial 16S ribosomal RNA
Rfam family: Bacterial small subunit ribosomal RNA
Source: RNAcentral